GACGAACGCUGGCGGCAUGCCUAAUACAUGCAAGUCGAGCGAACAGAUGAAGUGCUUGCACUUCUGACGUUAGCGGCGAACGGGUGAGUAACACGUAAGGAAUCUACCUAUAAGCGGGGGAUAACAUUCGGAAACGGGUGCUAAUACCGCAUAAUAUUUUCUUCCGCAGGGAAGAAAAUUGAAAGAAGGCACUGCUGUCACUUAUAGAUGACCUUGCGGUGCAUUAGUUAGUUGGUGAGGUAACGUCCUACCAAGACGAUGAUGCAUAGCCGACCUGAGAGGGUGAUCGGCCACAUUGGGACUGAGACACGGCCCAAACUCCUACGGGAGGCAGCAGUAGGGAAUCUUCCGCAAUAGGCGAAAGCCUGACGGAGCAAUGCCGCGUGAGUGAAGAAGGCCUUCGGGUCGUAAAACUCUGUUAUAAGAGAAGAACAAAUUGUAGAGUAACUGCUACAGUCUUGACGGUAUCUUAUCAGAAAGCCACGGCUAACUACGUGCCAGCCGCCGCCGUAA
RNAcentral lists this ribosomal RNA (513 nucleotides) under uncultured bacterium. RNAcentral describes it as "partial 16S ribosomal RNA". It matches the Rfam family "Bacterial small subunit ribosomal RNA", at positions 28 to 523 of the family's 1533-position model. The record is from RNAcentral.